RNAcentral lists this unclassified non-coding RNA (3566 nucleotides) under Nilaparvata lugens (brown planthopper). Its description in RNAcentral is "d-aspartate oxidase, transcript variant X7". Lineage: Eukaryota; Metazoa; Arthropoda; Insecta; Hemiptera; Delphacidae. The record is from RNAcentral.
AAAAUAAGAAUAAGAACUGGGCCUAAACGUCAUUCAUUUUUUUCUCUAAAAGGUAUUUUUGAUUUCACAUGAAAUAAUAAAUUGUUAUCUUAUUUUGAAACGGUUUACAGAGCAUGAGAGCAAGCUUAUGCUAGCUGCCAGCCUGCCAGCUGAUUCGCAAUUUCUCAAAUAAGCAAAGAAAAAGAAGUCCUUCCUUCUGAGUUCAGUGAUUGUGCUGUUGUGUUAAAUUUUAAUUACGAUUGAAGUAUUUUCAAACUAAAUUCUAAUAUUGAACUCAUUUUAUAGUUUUGGUUUAAUCUUUAUAGUCGAUUAUUCAUGGAUAUCAGCUUCUAAGGUAAUUGUGUUUGAAAUCCAAGACCAGUGGUAAUUCAACUUGGUCGCCAUGCCGAAUUUAUUUAUUGUUCGUUAGGUUAAUACUUUUUAAAAAGCAUCGUGACAAUUGUGCUAAAACUUGCUUUGGUUUUUGUAAAGUAUGAAUUCCAAUAAAGAUACAAAUCGUCGUGUAUUAGCUAUACAAGCUAAGAAAAAACGACACAAACCAGCAAAGUGGAAAUCUAAGAAUGAAGAACAUACAAAUUCUACCACACCUAAGGAUAAUGUAGGCCUAAUGAAUUCUAGCAAAGCGGAUCCAAGCAACUCGUCUUCAAAUGAAACUAUUGAAGAUAACGAGGACGAAGGUCCAUACUCUUCGGAAGAAGAAGAACAAGAAGAUUCUUCGGACUAUUGCAAAGGAGGAUAUCAUCCAGUGAAAAUAGGCGAUGUAUUCCGGAGUAGAUAUCAUGUAACAAGAAAGUUGGGUUGGGGCCAUUUUUCUACAGUUUGGCUUUGUUGGGAUCUGGUUGAUAAGAGGUUUGUAGCCUUGAAAGUUGUAAAGAGUGCGCCUCAUUUCACGGAAACAGCUUUAGAUGAAAUAAAGCUUCUUAAAAUUGUUCGUGACAGUGAUCCCAACGAUAAAAAGAGGGAAAAAGUAGUCCAGUUACUGAAUGAUUUUAAAAUUUCUGGUGUCAAUGGAACACAUGUAUGUAUGGUUUUUGAAGUGCUUGGACAUACUUUGUUGAGACUUAUUAUUAAAAGUAAUUAUAGGGGCAUUCCACCUUUUAAUGUAAAAAGGAUAAUAAGGCAAGUUCUUGAAGGAUUGGACUAUUUGCAUACAAAGUGUCGUAUAAUUCAUACUGAUAUAAAGCCCGAAAAUAUCUUGCUGUGUGUCGGUGAAAGUUAUAUCAGAAAAUUGGCAUGUGAAGCUAGGGACCUUCAUCUAACGGGAGGGAAGCUACCUGUUUCUCAUGUGAGUACUGCUCCUAAGGAGUUCCAAGAACAAACACCAAACUCAAAAAUGUCAAAGAAUCGUAAAAAGAAGUUAAAGAAGAAAGCUAAACGACAUACUGAACUCCUCAAACAACAAAUGCAACACAUUGAAGAAUUGGAAGAACAAAAAAUCUCGUCGACAGUUGAAAUGAAAGAUGACAACUUGUUUCCUGUCACACCAAUCAAAGAUAGCAGUCUCAUUGAAAUUGAUGAUGAUGAAAAUGCGUUGGACGCCUCAAAAAAUGAAAAUAUGUAUGAAAAUGGUUGUGAUGAGGUAAUGGUAGUAAGUGAAGAAGGUGGUUCGGGAGAAAAAACCAAAAGUGUUGAUUUGAACAGGUGUUCGCCGCUGCUUGACAGCCCUCUCAACAUGGCUUCCAACGUAGCUUGUGCAGGGGAAAACGCAAGUGUAGCCAGAGAAGAAGAUUCGCCUUUAUUCUCACCUCAGAACUCUGAAAGGAAAUAUGAUGAAAACGACUGCAACCCAGCAUAUUGGGCGUGUGAUGUGGAUGUGAAGAUAGCUGAUUUGGGCAACGCGUGUUAUGUGAAUAAUCAUUUCACGGAUGAUAUUCAGACUCGUCAGUAUAGAUCAUUGGAGGUGUUGAUUGGAGCUGGAUAUGAUACAUCAGCUGACAUCUGGAGCACUGCUUGUGUUGCUUUCGAAUUGGCCACUGGUGAUUAUUUAUUCGAACCGCACGCCGGAGAGCAUUAUACAAGAGAUGAAGAUCAAUUGGCUCACAUCAUUGAACUUCUUGGUGAUAUUCCAGAAAGUGUUAUUAACUCGGGCAAACAUUCUAAACAGUUUUUCAACAAAAAAGGAGAAUUGAAGCACAUCAGAGGGCUAAAGCCGUGGGCGUUGGAUGAUGUUCUCAUCGAGAAGUAUCACUGGUUGCCGAAAGAGGCGGCAGAGUUUUCAUCUUUUCUGCGUCCCAUGUUGGAAUUCGAUUAUCGUCGUAGAGCUACGGCGGCUGAAUGCCUGAACCAUCCCUGGCUGAAGUGUUGAAACUGAUUUUUUCAAGCACUGCAGCAUUUAUUACGUUUAGUUAUCUUUCAAAAUUCCUUGUAAAAACUAUCUUAGUUUUUUUUAAUAGUUCAUUGUGACAUUUUUCGUUUUUCUACUUCCACUGUUUGAAAUUGAGUUCUUAGCUGAAUGACAAAACAUAGUUCAUAAAGCUUAUGCAAAUUUUUAACACAACAUUUUAAUCAGAAUAAAUUGUGACAAGUUAAAUUUGACUCAAAAAUAUCACUUUUUGCUGAAGGAAAUAUCAAUCAUAAAAUUGAGAUGGGAAUUUUUAAAGUUUGCGUUGUUGGAGCCGGAAUAGUGGGGUUGACAACUGCGCUUGAAAUUCAAAGUACGUUUCCAUCAGCUGACGUGUGCCUGAUUGCUGAUCAAUUCAACGAAGCGACGACAAGUGACGGAGCCGCGGGACUCUUUCGACCCGGCAUCAGCUUCUGUGGGCCCGAUCUUCAAAUCACAAAGAAAUGGAUAAAAGAUUCUUACACCUAUUAUAACGAUCUUAUAUCAGAUGAGUGUGGUAUUAAGGAGAUUGGAGGAUACAUAUUCUCUUCAACCAGCAAAUCAAAUGUUCAGAACCAUUUGUUGGAAGAUGUGGUGCCCAUCUACCGUCCUGCUACCAAUGGGGAGCUCAAGUUGUGCCCGGGCCAAUGGCAGUACGGCUCUUACUUCACCACUCUCCUUGUCGAAUGUCGACGCUUUCUGCCCUGGGCGCUCAACAGGUUCAAGAACAAUGGCGGUCGAGUUGUAAAGAAGUUAAUUCAAAGCUUUGACGAAAUACCUGGCGACUUUGAUGUGAUCAUGAACUGCACAGGAUUUGGUGCCAAAUACUUAUGUAAAGAUAUAAAAAUGGUUCCGAUACGCGGGCAGGUAAUAAAGGUGAAAGCUCCUUGGCUACAAACCUUCUACUACGGUGAUUAUGACACUUACAUCAUACCAGGAUUUGAGGGGAAUGUGACGCUCGGCGGUUGCCGGAAUUUCGACAGCUAUGACGUGUCGUUGAGUAGAUACGACAGAGCAGCCAUCAUGGAGCGUUGCUGUUCGCUUGUGCCGGAGCUGAGUGCGGCUCCCGUCGUCCGAGAAUGGGUCGGGCUGCGACCGCAUCGAGACCCUGUACGCGUUCACUUUGAGAAACUCGCAAACAAAAAGUUCACAACUAUGGUCACGGAGGCUAUGGAGUAACCUCAGCACCAGGAACAGCAAAGCAUGCAGUUUCAAUUCUGCUGAAGGCUCUUUCAAGCAGCGCAAA